ACAGGUACGUGGGCGGGCGGAUCGUGGUGGCUGCGCUUGCGAGGACCCUGAGGUAGAUUGGGUGGUUUCAACAGGAACGCAUCCACUGUCUGAGAGUUUAAACUUGAUUUUGUGAGGGGACGAACAGCGUGACAAUUAAAAGAAGAUCUGGGAAUCAAAAGCUUCCUGAGGCCUUCACCAGAAGCAGAUGCUGGUGCCGUGCUUCUACAGCCUGCAGAACUAAGAGAAGACAUGGAGAAGAGGAGGGAGUAGUUGUGACCGUGGAGGCAGAGAAUGGAGUAAUGUGAUCAUAAAUCAAGGAAUGCUGACAGCCACUAAAGCUGGAGAAGGCCAAGGACAGAUAUUCAAUCCUCCCGUAGAAGUACAGCCCUGCUAAUGCAUUGAUUUUGGACUUCUGGCCUCAGAACUAUUUAUAUAUCAGCUUUUUAUCAGUUGAAAUAAACCACCCUGGGCCGGGUGCAGUGGCUCACACCUGUAAUCCCAGCACUUUGGGAGGCCGAGGUCUGGAAAGCAUGGAAAUUUGUAUCUUCAUUCACUUUUGUUUUCAUGGACUCUUUUCAUGUUUGAACUUUUCAUGAUCCAAUGUGAUAAUUUAUGUGAAAUCUUUCUGCAAACUAUACAGUAUGAUAAAAAUAUAAGGUAGUUUCACUGGAAACAACAGAAGACUAGAAGCUGAUGUGACGUGGCAAUAUCAACCAGGAAUACCCAUCUCGAGUUCUGGAUAUGUGCUCUGAGAAGGUGCCCAUGUCACCGACCACACUGGAGGCCAAUGCAGAUACUGGGGGAAGGUUCCAUGGUAGCUAAGUGUGGACAAGCUAAUCACUGAAGUUCCCUGAUGCAGAGUUGAUAAUCUCUCUAGAGUUGGAUGAAAGACUGUGCUGCCUUGAAGCUCUGAGAGAUGCCAUGCCAAUUCAAGGCAGGGUCUUUAUUGUUGAAACUCUUGCGUAAUGACAUCUUUAUUCAGGUGAAAAUACAGGAUGAAUUUCAACUAUAUGAUAUUGUUUAUGUUCCUCAGACAUGUUAUUUGUCUUUACAAAGAUUGGUUUCAAUAAACUGUGUGACUGAUAUUAAAUAAACAUGGAAUUUUACACAUUCAUAAUA
This 1101-nucleotide long non-coding RNA is filed under the name Homo sapiens (human). Its description in RNAcentral is "TMEM161B divergent transcript". The record is from RNAcentral. Lineage: Eukaryota; Metazoa; Chordata; Mammalia; Primates; Hominidae.